Magnolia sinica is the source of this 760-nucleotide long non-coding RNA. RefSeq lists it as uncharacterized. The record is from RefSeq and is a predicted model, not a curated record. The transcript is spliced from 3 exons. NCBI's taxonomy places the organism in Eukaryota, Viridiplantae, Streptophyta, Magnoliopsida, Magnoliales, Magnoliaceae.
CGACACACCUCCCGAAAAGUCUAACGUCCCUUCGCAUCUUGGAAUGUGAUAAAAUUAGUGGGAUGUGGUGCUCCCUACCGCUUGUUAAUUAUUUUGAAGUGAUUUCGAGCAGUGGGAUUUUGUGGCCAUUACCGAACCUCCCAAGCCUCAAGACGUUUCAGAUCUCUCAUUUAAAAAACACAACAUGUCUCCCCUACAGAUGGAAACACUUGGAGUCACUAGAGACUCUUAUUAUCAGCAAUUGCUCUAAAUUGAGGUCUCUUCCUGAUGAUUUGGGACAGCUCAAGUCGCUUAGGAGUCUCAAUAUCUGCAGCUGCCCCAAGUUGCGGUCAUUGCCUAAAGGGUUGUGGGGCCUUACCUCUCUCCAAGAUUUAAGCAUCUUUGCCAAUCCAAUGCUGGCGAAUAAAUACCUUAGGAAGUAUCGGAGUAAAGCAUCACACAUCCCAAACAUUUGGAUUGACGGUAAAAGAAUAUUCAAAUGAAGUGCUGAAGAUGAGAUGAUCCAUCAAGUGGACAAGCUCCAACUAGGAAGGCCAACGUUCGCUUUAUGGAGCUGCUUGGAGAGGAUGAAAUGGCAUUCGAUAGCCUCUACUGUGUGGCAUUUCAGAUGAUGGAUGCUCAGCGGCUUGCGAAGCGUGCUUCUUAUAUGGAAUUCAAUGAGGUUAUGAAAUUGACACGGACGCAGCUGGGGCGUGAGCUAGCAUUGGAAGACGUCUCCAGCAUUAAGGAUUUACUGGCUUACAAUCUUUUGAACCAAUAG